GGUGGCUCAGUGGUAGAGCACUCACCUUGCAUGUGAUGAGGCCCUGGGUUCAAUUCCUCAGCACCA
Molecule: transfer RNA, 66 nt
Filed under: Dipodomys ordii (Ord's kangaroo rat)
Lineage: Eukaryota; Metazoa; Chordata; Mammalia; Rodentia; Heteromyidae
Rfam family: tRNA
About the family: Transfer RNA (tRNA) molecules are approximately 80 nucleotides in length. Their secondary structure includes four short double-helical elements and three loops (D, anti-codon, and T loops). Further hydrogen bonds mediate the characteristic L-shaped molecular structure. tRNAs have two regions of fundamental functional importance: the anti-codon, which is responsible for specific mRNA codon recognition, and the 3' end, to which the tRNAs corresponding amino acid is attached (by aminoacyl-tRNA synthetases). tRNAs cope with the degeneracy of the genetic code in two manners: having more than one tRNA (with a specific anti-codon) for a particular amino acid; and 'wobble' base-pairing, i.e. permitting non-standard base-pairing at the 3rd anti-codon position.
Source: Rfam by way of RNAcentral